UUGCUUCUCUCCUUUAAUUUCCUUCCGUUACGCCUAUUAAGAGUAAGCUGCCUUUACUACGAUUUUACUCAGCUCUAGCUUUUCAUCCGUAACUAAGGAAAUCAAUUAGAACCACCGUUAUUCCUUUUGAUACAAACCUGAUUAAUCAAAUCAAUUGUUUAUACGUUAUCAGAAUAAAAGAUAUCCAUUAACAACACAAUUAUUUCUGCAUGCCAAUCCUUGAAAUGUUCGGCUACAUAAACCCCCAAAAAUGUUACUUCGCAAAAGUUCUCAGUGCUUACCAAUCUCCUUUUUCUCUAUAAAGAUUCAUGUUCAUAUGUGUAGAACCAUACACCUUUUGAUUGUGUCAAACAUGACUUUAUCCUCCACCUUAUCCGGGAACCCUGCACACACUAACGUUGGUCUCAGCUAUCGGAUUCUGUUAAUGGAUGGUUAAAUGGAUGUACAACGCUGGCUUUCACAGAUUAGAGCUGCUACCUGCGACAAUCCGAAUAGGGACCUAUGGUGUGCUAAAUGUGAAUCUAAAGUGGAACCUCACGUACACCAGUAAUCCCAAUAAUUGUAAACAACAACUUAGUUAUAGGCGUCAAUGGGUUCAGAAGAAACUGGAAUGCGGCCUCUCAUGAGUGAUUCUUUUUGCACCAAGAAGAGGAAGGCAUGAUUCUCACCUGAAAAGACAGAUCAUAAAAGUAAUUCUAAAUUCUUAAUGGUGCAUUGCGAAUGUUUUGAUUGCUGAUAUUUAGCAUGGAAACAAACCCCCUGUUGGAAUAUAUGCGGUUUCAGAGAUUUUCUCUAAUUUGUCUGUCUCUCAUAAUGGUGCAUUUAAUUGUUGCAUCGAUGAGGCUUCAGGUCAGAAAAACACCAUGGAAAUUCCCAUGGCAUGCUAUAUAAAGCCACUUAAAAUCC
RNA transcript from Papaver somniferum (opium poppy), 906 nucleotides. RefSeq lists it as uncharacterized. The transcript is spliced from 6 exons. The record is from RefSeq and is a predicted model, not a curated record. NCBI's taxonomy places the organism in Eukaryota, Viridiplantae, Streptophyta, Magnoliopsida, Ranunculales, Papaveraceae.